This 376-nucleotide ribosomal RNA is filed under the name uncultured bacterium. Its description in RNAcentral is "bacterial SSU rRNA". It matches the Rfam family "Bacterial small subunit ribosomal RNA", at positions 524 to 898 of the family's 1533-position model. The record is from RNAcentral.
UACGUAGGUGACUAGCGUUGUUCGGAUUUAUUGGGCGUAAAGGGUCCGCAGGGGGCCGGCUAAGUCUGAUGUGAAAUACCAAGGCUCAACCUUGGAACUGCAUUGGAAACUGGUUGGCUAGAGUAUCGGAGAGGAGAUUGGAAUUCCUGGUGUAGCGGUGGAAUGCGUAGAUAUCAGGAGGAACACCAAAGGCGAAGGCAGAUCUCUGGACGAUUACUGACCCUCAGGGACGAAAGUAUGGGGAUCAAACAGGAUUAGAUACCCUGGUAGUCCAUACUGUAAACGUUGUGAACUUGACGUGGGAGGAUUUAGUCCCUUCCGUGUCGUAGCUAACGCGAUAAGUUCACCGCCUGGGGACUACGGCCGCAAGGCUAAA